CAGCCAUGCCGUCUCUUGAAGCUACUGUUGUUGGGAGAGUGGGGAUGUCGUAGGAAUGAUAUUUCCGGUCUGACGGAAGCUUAGGGUAAGAGAGGCAGGUCACAAGAGUAGCUAGGCUUCGAGAUGGAUUUUAGGGACUUCUACAAUAAGACCUAUUUUCCUUCCCAAUUUGCUGGCGUUGUGUUUACCACCUUUCAGGCAAUGCUCGAGGCGGUUGUUGGAAGCCCCGUGAUUCGAAAGCAAGGAGUAUCGGUCUCAGUCGGCCGCGAGACGUGGUCUCGGACAGAGGUCAAAUUGCCAGCCUCCCAAAAUUAGGCCUACCCACGACGCACUGGUGGACCCGGACCCCAGACCUGAACAGAGGUCGGACCGCAUUCUUCUACAAGGAUACACAGAAUAUUGCAUAAAGGCAAUGCUCGAGGCGGUUGUUGGAAGCCCCGUGAUUCGAAAGCAAGGAGUAUCGGUCUCAGUCGGCCGCGAGACGUGGUCUCGGACAGAGGUCAAAUUGCCAGCCUCCCAAAAUUAGGCCUACCCACGACGCACUGGUGGACCCGGACCCCAGACCUGAACAGAGGUCGGACCGCAUUCUUCUACAAGGAUACACAGAAUAUUGCAUAAAGAUUCCAUGAGUCACGUGCCGUCUCUCUGCUCGCAAGUGUGCAUUAACCCAC
Long non-coding RNA from Macrobrachium nipponense, 671 nucleotides. RefSeq lists it as uncharacterized. The record is from RefSeq and is a predicted model, not a curated record. The transcript is spliced from 3 exons. NCBI's taxonomy places the organism in Eukaryota, Metazoa, Arthropoda, Malacostraca, Decapoda, Palaemonidae.